AGAAAAGGUUCGCAGUGAGAAUUAAAGCAAGCCGUACCAACAACCAACACAGGUGGACUGGUAGAGUAUACCAAGGCGAGCGAGAGAAAGAAGCUUAAGGAAUUCGGCAAAAAAGCUGGACGUAAGUUCGCAAGAUGUCCUUCCCGCAGCAAUGCGGGACGCAGCUAACGACUGUCAACCGACUGUUUACCAAAAACACAGGUCCCUGCAAAGCCGCAAGGCAAAGUAUAGGGGCUGAAGCCUGCCCAGUGCUGGUAAGUCAACGGGCGGGGUGGUCGCCGCAAGGCGAUUGCUCCAAACUGAAGCUCCAGUAAACGGCAGCAGUAACUAUAACUGUUCUACGGUAGCGAAGUUCCUUGUCGGGUAAGUUCCGACCCGCACGAAAGGCGUAACGAGUUGACAACUGUCUUGAGCUUCUACUCGGUGAAAUUGCGGUGGCUGUGAAGACGCGGCCUACUUGCACCAGGACAAAAAGACCCCGUGGAGCUUUACUGUAGCUUGGCAUUGAUUUGAAGUUGUUGAUUGUCAAGAAUAGGAGGGAGCCGCAAGGCGACAAUGUGAUACCUCUCGUUGACGAUUUUAAAUCUUACCCAAAGGCCCUGAAUACGGGUCUGGGGAACAUGCUUAGCAGACAGUUUUACUGGGGCGGUAUCUUGCUAAAGAGCAACGCAAGAGUACAAAGGUCGGCUUAGCACGGAUGGACACCGUUGCUGUACGUAUAAGGGCACAAGCCGGCUUGACUGCGAGACCGACAGGUCAAGCAGACGCGAAAGCGGGUCCUAGUGAUCCUCGAUAGUUUCGUGGGAGACUACGAGCUUAACGGAUAAAAGCUACCCCGGGGAUAACAGAGUAGUCGCGCCCGAGAGUUCAUAUCGACGGCGCGGUUCGCUACCUCGAUGUCGGCUCACCGCAUCCUGGGGCUGGAGAAGGUCCCAAGGGUUGGUCUGUUCGCCCAUUAAAGCGGUACGCGAGCUGGGUUCAGAACGUCGUAAGACAGUUGGUCGCCUACAUUUGGCGACGACACUGAGCUGUCUCUUCUAAGCGUUUUGACCCUGUAUUUAGAACAAAUACGAAGAGGUUCUGUUAUUUCGAGCAAAGCAAUAGAGAGACUUUGCUUAUGGAAGAUUCUGAUUAACUUAAAUCAGAAGUAAAUCUGGCUAUAUGCUGGAAAAUCCGGGAAUUCGCUGGUACUUGCCUUUAUAGGCGAGUAACAAACCAAGCGAUGCGGAUAAUCAGCAGGAAAGGCCACAUUCAAUUUAGAAUGUGGAAUCCUCACAGGCCAUACGCCAGACUCGCCUUAUGCGAGAAGAUAUGGUCGGACCCCAUUGGCGACAAUGGGAGCUAGUAAUCAAUCUAGCCUUGUAACAACAAUGUCGGACUCUAUCCGGUGCAAGCGAAGGAUUCUUGAGGGAAGUUGGCCACAGUACGAGAGGACCUGGCUGAAGAAAUCCCUAGUGUACCAGUUGUCCCGUCCGGGGCAUCGCUGGGUAGCUACAUUUCUAAGGGAUAACCGCUGAAAGCAUCUAAGCGGGAAGCC
This 1537-nucleotide ribosomal RNA is filed under the name Dehalococcoidales bacterium. RNAcentral describes it as "partial 23S ribosomal RNA". It matches the Rfam family "Bacterial large subunit ribosomal RNA", at positions 1611 to 2794 of the family's 2925-position model. The record is from RNAcentral. Lineage: Bacteria; Bacillati; Chloroflexota; Dehalococcoidia; Dehalococcoidales.